GUCUUUUAGAAAAUAAUUUAAAGUCUAACCUGCCCACUGAAUAUUUUUGAAGGGCCGCAGUAUUUUGACUGUGCAAAGGUAGCAUAAUCAUUAGUCUUUUAAUUGAAGGCUUGUAUGAAUGGUUGGAUGAAAUAUUAACUGUCUCAAAUUAAUUAAAUAGAAUUUAAUUUUUAAGUUAAAAAGCUUAAAUAUAAUUAGAGGACGAGAAGACCCUAUAGAUCUUUAUAUUUUUAUUAAUAUUUUUUAUUUAGGUAAAUAAAUAAUUUUAUUUAUAGAAAUAUUUUAUUGGGGUGAUAACUAAAUUUAUUUAACUUUAUUUAAUUAAAACAUUAAUUUAUGAAUAAUUGAUCCAUUAUUAGUGAUUAAAAGAUUAAGUUACCUUAGGGAUAACAGCGUAAUUUUUUUAGAGAGUUCUUAUCGAUAAAAGAGUUUGCGACCUCGAUGUUGAAUUAAAGAUUAAUUUAGGUGUAGUAGUUUAAAUGUUUGGUCUGUUCGACCAUUAAAUC
This 506-nucleotide ribosomal RNA is filed under the name Nevromus exterior. RNAcentral's name for it is "partial 16S ribosomal RNA". It matches the Rfam family "Bacterial large subunit ribosomal RNA", at positions 1825 to 2594 of the family's 2925-position model. The record is from RNAcentral. Lineage: Eukaryota; Metazoa; Arthropoda; Insecta; Megaloptera; Corydalidae.